Molecule: long non-coding RNA, 1960 nt
Filed under: Heterocephalus glaber (naked mole-rat)
Lineage: Eukaryota; Metazoa; Chordata; Mammalia; Rodentia; Bathyergidae
Description: lncRNA (ENSHGLG00100033749.1)
Source: RNAcentral
GGACCCAACUGCCCAAGGUUGCAAACCUUUAUUUCCCAGUGCCACCCCCUCCCAAGCCAAGGUUUGCACACAGUCGCCUCCUCCCCCGCCACCGCCGGCAGUACACACUCGGCAGUACACACUCGGCUGGGUUCCCGCUCUGCGAGGGAAGGUCACAAUAGCUGCUCUAUCUGCAGAGGCGCCUGCCUCCUCCCUCCCUGGGUCUCAGAGAAGCAGAGAAAGAAGGGGGAGGGGCGCCGGCCGCCGACGGCGCCCAGGGCCGGGGGCCUCUCUUCUUGGGGAAGAGUUGCAGCGGUACUUGCAAGAGGAAGUUGGGUGGGGUAAGAAAUCUCCACCCUAGCUCCUGCCUCUCAAGUGUUCCGGGGGGCAAAGGGAAGGCACCAAGGCCUCGAAGUUGCUCGAGGCCUCCCUGCUCCACGCUUCCUUGAGGGUGCCCAGAGCAGCCAGAAGCCGGGAACACGCACGCCAUUGUGUGCGCUGCUUCCCCAUGGGUUCUACAGCAGAGAAGGCCGUAUGUAGGCAGCACAGGCUGGUGGCCGGAGGUGGGAAGAAGCUGGCCCCUCUUGCUCACUGGGGCUUUGGUCUCUGGGAUCUACCGUGGUUGCCUAAGAGAGGAAAUGGCUCUUAAGCUCGUGCCUUUGGCCAGUUCUCCCUUACCCUAUGGCAACUGCGUUUUUGGGGUGUGUGUGUGUGUGUGUGUGUUGGUGCUGGUGGGGUGUCAAGGUGGUUAGGGGGUCUCUUGAGAUCUGAAGAAAGGGGUCAGGGCUGUGAGCCUAGGCCCAUGGGUGAGGGGUGGCUGUCCACCUGGCAUCCUGGGUGGUUCUGUCCAAGCAAUCAAAUGUGAAUUAAGGCAGGGUGGAAUAGCCUGCUGCACAGCAGGGGUUGGAGUGAGAAAUAAUUUAAGCCGAAGGAGAGAGUUCCUUGCAACCAGGAAAAACUCAGGAUCCAGUCUGCAGUAGAGGGCCUAGAAUGGAGCUAACCAGGAAAUUGCAGAAGCUGCUGAGGAACAGGCCUUGAAGAGUAGUCCUGGCACUGGUAAGGAGGGCCCAGUGGGAAAAUGGGUCGAGUGAGCGGCACCAGAGUCCCUCGCUCCAGCCUGCCGCCUCUUGGGACAGCGACGAUGCUCUCCUCAGCACGCACGGCAGAGAACACACAAAGAAAGCCGGGACCUGUUCUCGGCAGUUUCGAGGAGGAGGCUGGUGAGGACCCCGAGGCGGAGUGCCCCAGCCCCGCAGGAACAAUAGCUGCAGGCGGCAGUGGGGAGUGCGGCACAAAGCCCGCCGGAUCCACGCCGUCACGUGAGCCCCCCCCCCCCCCCGCCGCAGGGCUCGGGACCCACCUGGGCCAUUUGCGGAGACAAGCGGUUCCUCCUACUUCAGAGCAAGUCUGGGCCAGCUGGGAGCCGACCAGAAACCGCCAGCGGAGGAGACUCGGGCGCACUGGCUGGGUACUUGCAGAGGGCGUGACCCGCGGUGUUCCCACCCCCACCCCCACCCCCGCCUCACUACAGCCUGGGCUGGAGGGGAGUGCUGGUGGCCACCUCCUUGCCUUGGGGACAGGCCGGCUGCGCCAGCCCUCAGACUUCUCUGGGCACCCACGCCUGCCCCUGCCCCACAGUGACCCUGCAUUCCCUGUCCCUCUCCACACUGGCCCCAGUGACCCGCUGCUCUGUUCCCAGAAAGGGAUUUAUCUGACUCUGAAGGCAGGAGAAAAAGCCCACGAGGCCAGAGGGUUUUUGCAAACUCUUAAGUCUUAUUUGGCUGCGGGAGUAUUUGUGUGGGAGGAAGACCACUGUUGAACUUGAAAUAAACUUGAAUGUCAUUUAUAGUAACAAUAAACAUAUACUGAAAACACCAGUCACAAUGAUGUUUCUUCUCUUGGAGUGUAGCAGCAAGACUCCUAAGUACUUUUACCUCAGCCCUCAGGUUAAUUUUAGAAACAUCAUAGGGCUAAACUGCAA